Long non-coding RNA from Hemicordylus capensis (graceful crag lizard), 7074 nucleotides. RefSeq lists it as uncharacterized. The record is from RefSeq and is a predicted model, not a curated record. Lineage: Eukaryota; Metazoa; Chordata; Lepidosauria; Squamata; Cordylidae. The transcript has 2 exons.
AGUCUUGUGGUGGGACAGCCGAGUCUGCGCUCUCGCCCGCGAUCUCUAUGGUAUUUGUCUUGGCCGUCCUCUCCCGUGGCUGAGAGGCUGGUUCUCUGAGGAGGAGAGAGACUCCUGAUUGGACUUGCGGCCUGAUCCUAGCCAAGAUUGCCGGGAACGAAGCAAUCCCCGUGGAUUUCAAUGGGAUUUACUUCCCGGUCGGUAUGAGUAAGAGGACGGCAGCCUUGGACUCGCAGGAGCCCGAUUCAAAUCGUAUUUUCUCGGGUCCCACCAAUUGCAAUGGGGCUUACUCCAGUCCAGUCUCCAUAUGAUUACAGCAUGACUCCGUCUCGUCUGGACCACGACUCCUGCCCUUUCCCUUCCCCAGCAGCACUAUUAUUAUCCCCAUGGUCCCUGGAGCAGCGUCUCAUAACGGGGAGACCCAAGAGCUGAAACGCAAAGCACACACGUUUCUGAAGAGAACAAAGCCAGCUCCAUAGGAGGGCAUGGCAUUCAGGCAACAUCACCUUAAGCGUAUUAGUUAGUUGCCCCUUAGCUCACCUCUGGGUGUCUGAUGAUGUAAUCAGCAAUCCUGCAGAUCCAGGACAUGGAAGAGGUUAUAAUAUGAAGGUGUCCAGUGGAAUGAAACUAGUUGUUAUAAUGGUGGAAAGGUUUAAAUCAUUUAAACUUGUAUCGAAUGAAGAUUUGAAUCUAAGGAAAAAUGUUUAGAUCUGGUUCUCAGACUCGCAUGUUGAGGAGCCUGUAUAUAUGGUGGAACAGCGGGUGUGCACUUGACCCCUUUGCCACACAUAAAAGGGGGCAUAUUUAAAAGACGGGCACACUGGCGUGAAUAACCAAAUUGUGACGCCAGUGCCAUUCUUUGUAGUACUAGUAUCAUUUCUCCCUACCCUCAAAAAAAGGUUGCCCAUAGAAUGCUGAGGUCUCAGUUCCUUUUACUAACUUCAUAUCAGAAUGAAUUGGAUGCACAUGUAUGCAGAUAUACUGUAUACAAACUUUACUGGUUGAAUCACACAAUACCCUUCAUGGUAUUAUUAUUUUUAUUAGAUCAGUCCAUCCCAAUACAUAGACAUUCUGAAAUUAGUACCAAUGCAUACCAAGUGAAUAAUAAUAGUAAUAAUAGUAGUAGUGGGAAUAGUAAUAAUUUAAUUUAAUUUAUAUACUGCCUGACUCAGGAGCGAUUCUGAUCCACUCUCAUUGUGACCUGUUUAACAGUUAUAGCAAAUUGCUGGUCAGAGACUGAAAUAAAACUGAACUGAACUGAACAAUUCUAGCAAGAUUACACACAUCAGCAAUCUGCAUAUACUGCUGUUAUAAACAGCAGCCUUCUCCACCCUUGUUUGUUCCUCUGUGACAAACAAUACCUUUAUCUGAACACAAUAAAAUGUGAGUGAGAUCAUUUGCAAUAUCUAAUUCAAGCUCUUGUGGACUUUGCUUCAAUUAGCCCUUCUGUAAAUAUGUUGUAGAUUUCAUGGACCGUAAUAAAUUUGAUUGAUUGAUUAUGUUGUAGAUCACUCUUUCCCUGUAGUAUAUCAGAAGCAAAAUCACAAUCAGAUUAAUUUAACUCAAGAUAUAUGUACAAAGUUAAAUUCACUCUUCUGAAUUAGACAUUGGGAAACUAUAAUUAGAAAAAUAAGACAAAAUGUCCAUCUCAUCGUAACUGAAUAAAUUAAAACUAGAAAUUGGUAUGACUUCAGUCAUGCACAUGAUUAUAGGCUGACAUCCAAAGUAACACAGUGACUUUGCAGUGACCUGAAGGAGAAGAGCAAUUUUCACUCAUCUUCUCUUCUCUCUGAAGCACACUGUGUCUCAAGAAAAAAUGUCCCUGAAGCAUACUGUGUCUCCAGAAAAUACAAUUUGCAUGGUAUGACCCUCGGACAUAUGACCCUCGGAGGCACAGAGUGCUUCAGAGGAAAGGGGAGACUGGUGGAAAACACCCCUUCCCCACAGGGCUGCGACAGUUUGGAUGUCAGCUGUUUUUGUUGUUUCUUCAUACAGCAUCUUGGCUCUCUCAGCUUCUCUCUCAGUGUAACCUUCUGUAAGCCAGAAUUCUGCCUAACAAAAGAAAUGGUGGUCAGCAUUCAUAACAUAGAAAAUGUGUGCAUAUGAAUGGCAUGAGUUACAUAUGAAUUGCACAUCAGGGAUGGCCAGGACCACUGAUGUGUGCAAGAAAUAGAACAUUUGAACAAAUCCUUAAGGAUGUUUGGAAGAUUUGAUAUGAGUCUGAUUCGUGGAACCUGCAGAACUCCUGAAGCAGUUCUGUAACUGACAGAAUUUCAGUGCUUAGCUGUUCCCGUUUUGCUGAUAUAGUUGGGAGUUAGGUGCAACUAACCUUUUUAAAACUGCAUAUAGUGGGUACUACCAGGAGUAUUCCCAGAUGGCAAUUUUACUUUAACCACAGAAGGGCAAGUGUGCAUUCACAUAUUGUCCACGUUGACAUCGAAGUCCCUGCGAGCUAUCAGGGAACACUCCAUACAUGAUUCAGGUUUUUCAUUGCUCAUUGGCGCUUAGCCUGGUCUAUGUCCAGGGUUAAAAACAAACAAACACUUUUUUUUCCAUUGGUUUCUUAGGCAAAUUCAAAAUAUCCAUAACUCGUAGUACUUCACCCCUUUUAAUCCCGCAGUAAAGCCUGCUGUCUGGGAAAGCUCCAGAACUCUUUAGCACUGCUGAAGCAUCACUCUUCCAUUAUAAUGUGAAAUCACAAGUAUAAUUGUGGUUCCAGAUAGCACUUAGUAUCAUCUCCACAGCAGAGGUUAUGGUGGGUGAUUCCUUUAUCCUAGAAUUGCAGCCUAAGAAUUCUCACUCAGGAAUAAGUUCCAUUCCAUGCAAUAGGAACCAUUCAUAGACUCAGAAUUUUAGAGUUGGAAGGAGGUGGUCUAGUCCACCUCCCUAGUCCCUGCUUAGAGCAGGAAACUCCUGCAGCAUCUCUGACAGAUGGCCAUCCAGCCUCUAUUUGAAAACCUCUGGAGGAGAGCCCAUCAUUGCAUGAAGCAGGCUAUCCCCUCUGUCAAACAGGUCUUGCAGUUAGGAAAUGCUUCCUAAUGUGUAACCUAAAUCUGCUUCAUUGUCAUUUCAGUCCAUUGCUUCUAGUCCUGCCAUCAGGAUCAACAGAAAAUGUCUUCUCCUUCUGUGCAACAGCACUUCAGAUUCCUGAAGAUGCCGGUUAUCAUAUUCUGCCCCACCCUCCUGCCAGUCUCCUCUUCUCCAGGCUAAACCUGCCCAGCUCAUAUUUCAAAGAGCAACAAUCUCCAAUCAACACCAUCUGGAAUCUGUCCGACAGGUAGGAGCAGAACCACUGUAGAACAGUGCCUCCCACCCUCAACGCUCUCAGACGUUCCAAAAGGAUACUAUGGUCGAUAGUAUCGAAAGCCGCCGAAAGAUCCAAAAGGACCAACAAGUCACACUUCCUCUGCCAAUUCCCAAUUGGAGAUCAUCCAUCAGGCCGACCAAGACAGUCUCCACCCCGUAGCCCGCCUGAAAGCUAGUUUGAAAUGGGUCUAGAUAAUCAGUUUCCUCCAAGACUGCCUGGAACUGAGCCCACCACCCUCUCAAUUACCUUGCCCAGCCAUGAGCUUGGAGUCAGACCUAUAGUUGCUCAAUUCCAAGGGGUCUAAUGUAGGCUUCUUUAGAAGAGCCCCUAAUAAUUGCCUCAUUAAGACAAGUGCCCUCCCUCAGGGAAGCAUUUAUGAUUUCUAUCAGGCCUCCUACAACAGCCUCCCUGCUAGAUAGAACAAACCAUGUUGGACAAGGGUCAAGAGAACAAGUGGCAGGCCUCAUCACUUCAAGCAGCUUGUCCACAUCCUCAGGAGUCACAAACUGAAACCGAUACAGUCGGACCACAUAAGAGGAGUUGCUGGACACCUCCAAUUCAGACAUCACAGUAAUUGUGGAGUCUCCAUCUAAGUCAGCCCGAAUCUAAGAGAUUUUAUCUGCAAAACAGUCUUUAAACACAUCACAGUGGGUAACUGAUGGCUCCAAAUUCUGAUUCCAGGAAGGGGAUGGCGUAUACUAGCCCCCUCACAACCCUGAAUAACUCCACUGGACGUGAACUCGCAGAUGCAAUACGGGCAGAAAAGAACCACUUCUUUGCUGCACAUAUUGCCUGAGCAUAGAUCUUUAAAUGUGCUCUAUGUCGUAAUCUGUCGGAUUCAAGUUGAGUCUUUCUCCACUUGCGCUCCAGUCAUGUACCUUGCUGUUUUUUGCCCCCGUAGAUCUUCCGUAUACCAAGGGGCCAGUUUUGAAGCGGGUCAAAGGGGACGCUUAGGAGCAAUCAUGUCUACUGCCAUGGUGAGCAUGUUGUUCCAGUUCUCCACCAGGGCAUCAACAGGAUCACCAGCAAAGCCAACAUUAAAUCCCUCCAAGGCUUCUUGGAAUCCUAUAGGGUCCAAUAACCUCUUCAGGUGGACCAUUCUAAUAGGCCCCUCGCCCCUGUGGAGGUGGAGAGUGGUUGUAAGCCUAACCUUGACCUGAUGGUGGUCUGCCCAUGACAAUGGGGAAAUCACAGGAGUCCCCACCCACGGAACACCACCCUGAUUAGAGUAAAAGACCAAAUCAAGUGUGUGACCUGCAAUAUGUGUUGGUCCAGAGACCGCUUGGGAUAGGCCCAUAGUUGUCAUGGUCGCUAUGAACUCCUGAGCGGCCCUGGAUAAAUUGGUGCCAAAAUGAACAUUGAAGUCCCCCAGCACCAAAAGUCUGGGAAACUCCAGCAUGAGUUCCGCGACCAAGUCCGUGAGCACAGUAAGGGAUUCCGUUGGGCAGCUGGAUGAUUGGUACACCAACAGAAGUCCCAAUCUAUCCCUGGUCCCCAAACUUAAGUACACACAUUCAAUAUGGUCUGAUACCCCAACAGAGACCCUGGUAAGGGAGAUGUUAUAGACCAGAGCCACUCCACCUCCCUGCCCACGUCCCCUCACCUGCUCCUCUGCAGAAUAUCCUGGAGGAAGAAGCUGAGACCAGACUGGGCCACUAGCCUCCCCCAACCAAGUCUCGGUGAUGCACACCAGGUCGGCCCCUUAAUCCAUAAUCAAAUCAUGGAUGAGUUUGAGUUUAUUUUGGACCGACCUGGUAUUACAGAGGAGCAAGGUAAGGCUAUGUGGGUUGUUGGCAGUGCUCCCCAAGGUCACAGAGGUGGCAGACAGCCAGAGGGGGAGACAGCUAUUAAAUUUCUGACUACCCUUCCCCUGGAACGGCUUGCUGACCUGCCAGCGUUACUUCUUCUAUUCCCCACCACCACCAGAAUAGCUGCCCCACAUUCAAUGAAGGCGCCCCCUGUCUCCCCAUCUCCAGACAAACCCAGACACAUUACAACUACUUCAACCCAAUCUCAGUAACAAAGCUGGCACACUUACUGCUGCAACUCCUCAAACAGCCAAACUGCAUAUAAUGUAGCCCAACCUUAACCAUUGGUUACCUGCUGUGUCACUUUUAAUGAUUUUUUUCAUAGACAAAACCUCUUGUAUCUAGGCCGAACUGCAUUCUACAAUUAGGGCAGGUUCUGUUAUGGAGGUAUCCAGCAACUCCUCUUAUGUGAUCAGACUGGAUCAUGUUCAGUUUGUGACUCCUGAGGAUGUGGACAAUCUGUUUAGGACUGUGCAUCCUACCACCUGCUCUCUUGACUCUUGCUGAACUUGGCUUAUUUUAUCUAACAACCAGAUUAUCAGAGAUGGUCUGGUAAACAUCAUAAAUGCUUAUCUGAGGGAGGGUAGGAUGUCUCCUUGUCUUAACGGGGCUAUCAUUAGACCAGGCCUGCUCAAUUUAGCCCCUCAGCUGUCUUUGAACUACAGUCCCCAUAAUCCCCAGCCACAGUGGCCAACAGCCAGGGAUUAGGGGAAUUGUAGGCCAACAUCUGCAGGAGGGUCAAAGUUGAGCAGUCCAGCAUUAGACCAUACUUGGAAAAACCUAUAUUGGACCUCUCAGAGUUAGGCAACUCUAGACCUGUCUCUAAUCUCUCAUGGUUAGGCAAGGCGAUUGAAGGGGUGGGGUGGUGGCCCCUGAUGAGAGAUCAUCAGGAGAUGUCGUGCAGGAUGUUAUCAAUAUGCUGAUGACACCCAAAUCUAUUUCUCCCUAUCAGCUUCAUCAGGAAAUGACAUAACUUCCCUAAAUGCCUCCCUGGAGGCAGUAAUGGGCUGGAAUGGGGAUCACAAACUGAAGUUGAAUCCAAAUUUAGAAAGAGAGGUACUGAUUGUGAAGGGGCAAAACCUGAGAUUUGGUUUCAAUCUGUUUGUUGUGGAUGGGGUUACAGUCUCUCUGAAAGAUCAGGUACAUAGCUUGGGAGUGCUCCUGGAUCCAAAGCUCUCUCUGGUUUCUCAGGUUGAGGCAGUGGCCAGAAGCACUUUUUAUCAGCAUUGGCUGAUACAUCAGCUAUGCUCAUUUCUGGAGGUAAAUGAUCUUAAAACAGUAGUGCAAAUACUGGUAACCUCCAGGCUUGACUACUGUAAUGCACUCUAUGUGGGGCUGCCUUUGUACAUAGUUCGGAAACACAACUGGUACAGAAUGUGGCAGACAGACUGGUCUCUGGGACAACCCAAAGGGACCAUAUAACACAGAUUCUGAAAGAAUUGCAUUGGCUGCUGAUAUGUUUCCAAGAGAAAUACACAGUGAUGGUUAUUAUUACCUAUAAAGCUCUGAAUGGCUUGGGUCCAGGGUACUUAAGUGAGUGCCUUCUUUGUCAUGAACCCUGUUGCCUAUUAAGAUCAUUUGGGGAGGUCCAGUUACAGUUGUGGGGAGGGGGGGCCUUGGGGCUGGGCCUUCUUUUUGGAUGCCUCAGGGCUUGGAAUGCACUCCCUGUCAAAAUAAGAGCUUCUCCAUCUCUGACUGCUUUUAAAAAGACCCUGAAGACACACCUGUUUUCUCAGGUUUUUAAUGCAAACUAAUUGUAAACUGUUUAAUUUUUUAAUUCUGUAACAUUAUUUUAAUUGUUUACUCUGUGAAUUGUUUUUGGUUUUUUAUUCAGUGAAAGUGUUUUAUUUGUUUUUAUUUUUAUAUUGUAAAUUGGAUUGUGUACACUGCCUAGAGAAGUAUAUGUCAGGUGGUAUGUAUAUGUGAUAAAAACAACAAUAAAAUAAAUAUUGCUAUCUA